UCGAAAGCUUCGAGAAGGAGAAGUACACUUUGUAAGCACUUCAGAGAGGAUCAUCAUCGGCUGCAAAUGAUCCGUGCCGCUACACUGUGGAAAUGCACCUUUGAGUGCCGUACCGAAUGAAAGUAGGUCGGACGCAUUGCCGGCGUUAUCGGCGUCAAGCGGAAAGGCUAUGCCUUUCAAGCGGAGUGGAACCACGUAUACAAUGCGUCUCUGUC
Molecule: non-coding RNA, 215 nt
Filed under: Sporosarcina sp.
Lineage: Bacteria; Bacillati; Bacillota; Bacilli; Caryophanales; Caryophanaceae
Description: T-box sequence
Rfam family: T-box leader
About the family: Uncharged tRNA acts as the effector for transcription antitermination of genes in the T-box leader family. T-boxes are found upstream of many aminoacyl-tRNA synthetase genes and some amino acid biosynthetic genes usually in Gram-positive bacteria.
Source: RNAcentral